Molecule: long non-coding RNA, 1374 nt
Filed under: Homo sapiens (human)
Lineage: Eukaryota; Metazoa; Chordata; Mammalia; Primates; Hominidae
Description: non-protein coding RUNX2-AS1:33
Source: RNAcentral
AUGUGGCAAUUGGAGAGAGAAAGUAUGAGGGUUUAGGAGGAUGAUAUGAACAGGAAAGGCCUUGGAAGCAAAGCCCCCAGGAAUGACUGGAAGACAACACUCUGCAGACCCCUUCCACAGGGUACCCCUGCUCUCCAGGAAGGGCCUUCAGGGCAGCAUUUGGAGGUGGCAUGAGCUAGCAGCGGCGUGCAGCCUGGUCACUGUCUGAUCUGGUCAGCCCAGCCGCACAGAACACCACACAGGCUCUGGCAGCUCCCUGGGAAAGAAGAAAGCAGCAUCUUGCAUGUGUGGCUUAUUCUGAAAGGAAUAGUAUCUGAGGGAUUUGAUGGACUCUGACAGGGGGAAGAAGGUAGUGAAAAAGAUGGAACAAAGAUGCCAUUUAAAAAUACUGGCUCGUGUUCAGGAUUUCGCUAUUUUUUACUGCAAGGAACAAGUAAAAAAAAAAAUCCUCCUAUUGAUGAGUAUUUUUCUACAGUCAUUAAAAGUCAAAGGACUCAGGGCUUCCGACUUUCCCUCUUGGGAAACCUGUAAGCUCGUCUUCUGGACAGCUUAGAAAAGGGCUGGAUGGCGAAGGCGAGAGGCUUAAAGGCCCCCAGCAAGCAGCUCCGCCGAGGAACGGGUGCAGGGGACACACUGUGUUUUCAGUUCAGAUUCUGUGAUCUUUCUGCCAAACAGGGGUUUACAAAGCAAAAACCUCCAGAGAAUUCUCAUACUUUCUGGCUUAUUCUCCUGGUGUUCGUCUUAACAGGAAUCAGCUGUUUGCCUUCUCACUUAUACAGCAUGUUGCUGAGGCGAAUUUAGCAUCUGGCCUGGCUAUUAUUAAAAACAAGAACAUCCUGCUCUGUUGGGAGAACAGCACCACUGGCAAUAAAAGGACAGAGAUCAUUUGCAUUCAGGAUUCCAGAGAUGUGUUUCAGUUCAAUAUCUGCGCUCCCUCCUUCCACCCCUGCUUUCAUUUUAAGAUUUCCUGAUGCAUCCAUCACUUGCAGCGUGGUCAACUUUUUUUCUGAAACAGGCACACACAGGCAGAGCAUAUUUUUUCCUUUCACUGGGAGGCAGGAAUGACUGGAGUUGUUCAAACACCGGUCCGUUCCUGCAAUUCCUAUGAUAAAGUUGAACUACCAGAGGAAUUUUUUUUUUUUUUUUUACAACUGCGGAAAUGAAAAAGUAAACAAGACUGGGACUGCAUUGGUAUUUAGGCUCCAGCUUUUUGUUGUUGUUUUUGUCUUUCCCUUUUUUUAAGCCAUUGGGCUAGGAGCCUGAAGGGACCAUAUAAUAUGAAAAACGCUGAGAGGUUUUAUUAGCCAAUAAAAAAAAAAACUGAGUUCCUAUUAACCACUUAACUCCUUGCUGAAGUUCAAACUUGCUUUCUCC